Molecule: ribosomal RNA, 253 nt
Filed under: uncultured bacterium
Lineage: Bacteria
Description: partial 16S ribosomal RNA
Rfam family: Bacterial small subunit ribosomal RNA
Source: RNAcentral
GACGGAGGGUGCAAGCGUUGUCCGGAUUCAUUGGGCGUAAAGCGCGCGUAGGCGGCCCGGCAAGUCGGAUGUGAAAACCUGGGGCUCAACCCCAGGCGUGCACCCGAUACUCCCGGGCUGGAGGCAGGUAGGGGAGAUCGGAAUUCCUGGUGUAGCGGUGAAAUGCGCAGAUAUCAGGAGGAACACCGGUGGCGAAGGCGGAUCUCUGGGCCUUGCCUGACGCUGAGGCGCGAAAGCUAGGGGAGCGAACAGG